GAGGGUAUAGCUCAGCGGUAGAGCACGUGCUUAAAACAUACACAAGAUCCUGGGUUCAAUCCCCAGUGCCUCCA
Molecule: transfer RNA, 74 nt
Filed under: Camelus bactrianus (Bactrian camel)
Lineage: Eukaryota; Metazoa; Chordata; Mammalia; Artiodactyla; Camelidae
Also listed under: 2 other names
Rfam family: tRNA
About the family: Transfer RNA (tRNA) molecules are approximately 80 nucleotides in length.
Source: Rfam by way of RNAcentral